Long non-coding RNA from Biomphalaria glabrata, 663 nucleotides. RefSeq lists it as uncharacterized. The transcript has 3 exons. Lineage: Eukaryota; Metazoa; Mollusca; Gastropoda; Planorbidae. The record is from RefSeq and is a predicted model, not a curated record.
CCUUUCAAGAAAGAAGAAAAAAAAAAACAAGGUUGAUGGCUAAUACCAAGGUCACGGUGGAAAAUAGGAUAAUUCUAUAUCCAUGAACACGUAAAUAAUGGAAACUUUGAGCUGGACAACAAUCAACUAGUUUUUAAUGACGUAUGCACAUCAUAUGAAAAACAACAAAGAGAACAAAGAGGAAGAAAUAACGUUUGAUGUGAUUUGAUUAUGAUUUUUGACACAUCAGCACAUUUUUUGGCCAUGUCUUGAAUACCUUCGUGUCAGAGUGAUUUUAAACAUGACCAUUCUUCACACAUGACAGAUUGACAAAUCUCUUCAUAAUCCUUAUAUCAGAACAAGCGGGUUUUUGACAAGGUCCCACUACAACAGAACAAAUCCUAAACCUCAGAAUAGUCUGUAAGAAAUACCUUUAACAUUUAUUCAUUUUUUAUCUAUUUAUGUGAAUGUUUCUGUUGUGUUGUUUUUAUAUGACAAAAGAAUCCUUGAAUCACAAAAAAUUUCCAUAAGGAUCAUAAGCAGUCUUAGUCUUAGUAACAUCAAGAAAAUCUUUUCCGUGUCUUUAUUGAUUUCAAGAAAGCUCUCGACAAAGUAUGGCUUGAUGCACUCUGGAAAAAUACAAUAUAAAUCAAAACAACAAAAGUUACCCAAAACAUCUAAAAG